Molecule: ribosomal RNA, 755 nt
Filed under: uncultured bacterium
Lineage: Bacteria
Description: bacterial SSU rRNA
Rfam family: Bacterial small subunit ribosomal RNA
Source: RNAcentral
CUUAGAGUUGAUCUGGCUCAGGACGAACGCUGGCGGCGCGCCUAACACAUGCAAGUCGAACGGUGAAAUGAAGCUUGCUUCAUGGAUCAGUGGCGGACGGGUGAGUAACACGUGAGCAACCUGCCUUUCAGAGGGGGACAACAGUUGGAAACGACUGCUAAUACCGCAUAACGUGCCGAGGAGGCAUCUUCUUGGUACCAAAGAUUUAUCGCUGAAAGAUGGGCUCGCGUCUGAUUAGAUAGUUGGUGAGGUAACGGCCCACCAAGUCGACGAUCAGUAGCCGGACUGAGAGGUUGAUCGGCCACAUUGGGACUGAGACACGGCCCAGACUCCUACGGGAGGCAGCAGUGGGGAAUAUUGGACAAUGGGGGAAACCCUUAUCCAGCGACGCCGCGUGAGGGAAGAAGGUUUUCGGAUUGUAAACCUCUGUCAGCGGGGACGAUAAUGACGGUACCCGCGGAGGAAGCCACGGCUAACUACGUGCCAGCAGCCGCGGUAAUACGUAGGUGGCAAGCGUUGUCCGGAAUUACUGGGUGUAAAGGGAGCGUAGGCGGGAUGUCAAGUCAGAAGUGAAAAUUACGGGCUCAACUCGUAACCUGCUUUUGAAACUGAUAUUCUUGAGUGAAGUAGAGGCAAGCGGAAUCCCUAGUGUAGCGGCGAAAUGCGUAGAUAUUAGGAGGAACACCAGUGGCGAAGGCGGCUUGCUGGGCUUUUACUGACGCUGAGGCUCGAAAGCGUGGGGAGCAAACAGGAUU